UAGUGCACAGAUUGAGAUUAUUCCCUUUUUUGGUGCAUUCUUGACUGUGUAAGCAGCUGCUGAAAUACAUAUGCCUGUUUCAGCCUCACAGAGGAACAAAACUUCGCUGCUGUGCUCUGAGUACAGGACUUGGCUUGAUUAACAAACAUGCCCUGACUAGGGAGAUAAAUAACUUAAUGAGGCCCAAGGCUAUGGGUAAAAUUAUCUCUCUUUAUGGUUGUAAGUAGAGCACAAGAGUGAUUCAUUAAGCAAAGCAGAAUGAAUUGGAUUUUCUUUGUACAGUGGCAGUGCUAUAUAGUCUGGGGACACACAGACAAGGAAAUCUGACAAACUGAUGAAUACUUUUGAACGGUGUGGUGGGUAUAAGUGCUUAAUAUAGUUCAUGUAAUGGCUUGGAAGUGGCUGAUCUAUAUAUAUAAGAUAAAAAUAGUACUAUUUAAUGCUGAAAUUAGUGUCAUUAUGUUAUAGUGCUAACUGCUUGCUUUACACAGUGUGUUUGCAUCUGUACACACUGCUUUUAAAGUUCAAUAUUGGUAGUAACAGUUCACCAAAUAUUUUUUGUUAGGUGGUAAACUCUGAGAAUUUUCCAAUGUGCUGAUUAUAUCUACUUUGGUUUUGAUUAACUACUACUAAACCUUGUAUUUGCAAAACCAAAUGUCAUUUGCUUCAAUUUCUCCUUAUUAAUCUAGACAUGAUUGAUGUAGUGUUGGUUAGGUUUUCAUAGGUUCUGAAGGUGCUGUUGUAGUUUUUCCCCAGUCGUCCGGUCUUAAUGACUAAAUGGUAUUUCUACAAAGUUCCUAGUUAUCUGGGAGAAUUCCAGCUGGGUUCCUUCAUAAUGGGCCUAUGGUUUUCAGUAUCCUUCCCUGUGCAGAUUGGAUACUGCCUAGCUAGAGGACUUUUUAGCAUGGCAACUACCUCUUCCCUGCCCCAUGAAGCUUGAGAUCCUCUGAUCUAGUUGUUUCAGGUCUCCAUGGUCACUUGUCAUGGCUUGCUUUAUGAAUCAGUGUGUCUCUACUGAGGCUUUUUCUUCUUUAGAUUCUAGGUGUUGCUGUCUUUUGAAACAGCUGGUGAGAAUCCUCUUGAUAAUUCUUCAGCCAUGCUUCUCAGAUGACCACUUGCUUAGUUACAUCUGCACACUUCCUUCUCCUUCCUCAUCCCUUUCUUCCUUUUUCUGCUCAACUUAAAACUCUUGGAGACUUUCAGCAUAUGUUGGCCUGGCUUGGUAGCUAGCUCUGAGUGUCCUUCGUUUGCCAAAGCUUGCAGUAGUCUUGUUGCUUGUUGCAGUCUUCUAAAGAGGGCAUUAGCAAAGGGGGACAUCCAAGGGGGACAUGGCUGGAAUGCUGACGUGAGAACAUUACUAGCUACUCCACCUUUGUGUGUGUUUGAGUCCUUGUUUCUUGGCCCUGACUGAAAUGAAUAGAAGACUUUCAUACUUUGGGUGAUGGUAGUUAUUCCAUCAGCUUUUUGACUAAUGAGGUUUUGGUGUAUAAAUGGUGUCUUUAAAAUAUUCCUUUCAGGACCAUGUAUAAUCAGUGCCCUGAAGAUACUUGUAUUGGCAAGGCAGCAAGAGGAAAUAAAUGUAAAACUAGUCCUCAAAGUAGAGAAAUUAAAGGCUAAUACUUUCAAAUUUACUUGCUUUAGAAGCUGAACUGUAGGGCUGAGUGUCUAAAAAAUGAGUUUUCACUCCAUUACAAACUUCUGAAAAAAGUUAGUAUGCAUGUUCCCAGAUAAGCUCUUCAGGCUUCUAUAUUUGCAAAAUAUGAAUGUGAAGUGAAUUGUAAUGGAGAUACAUGUAUAGUGACAGUCAUAACAUACGGUCAUACAGUCAGAGGCUGGUUGCGUGUGGAGUCUAAGUUCCAGUAGUUAAUGAAACAAUACAUUUUAAGGAAAACGGUCAUGCUUUGAGAACAAGUAAUUCAUAUUAGGGAGAUUGGUAGUCUGCUGGUGAGGAGCAUAAAACCAAAAACUUACAUUUGUUCCUGAAUUUUGUUGGUUUUUUGUUUGUUUGGUUGUUUUUUGUUUGGUUUUUCCCUUUUCCUAAACAGACUUUGCUGGAAUACGCACAAAAGCGGAAAACAUCAGAAGACCCUCUCCCCCUGCUGGAGGUGUAUACAGUGGCUAUCCGAAGUUAUGUUAAAGCACGACCUUAUCUUACCUCCGAGUGUGAAAAUGCGGCCUUUGUGCUCGAACGUUUAGCACUAAGCUGUAUUGAACUUCUAUUGUGUCUGCCUAUUGAUUGUCCUGACAAUAAAUGGGAAGAAUUUCAGGCUUUUGUGUAGGUGAGUUUGAUUUAUGAAAUGAAGACUUAAUACCUUUUAAGAGUGUUUUGGAAACCUAGGGAUAUUAAGUAUGUAGCAUGUAUGAAGACUUGUGUCCUGGUGGCUGAUAAAGAUCAAGACCUUUAGCUGGAAAUCCUCUGAAUGACAGCAGUUACUGUGGAGUAUGUAUCAUUUGUCUGUCAUAGUUCAUGUAGCAGUUGCAGAGAAAAUACUUUCAGAUGCUUGAAAGGAACCUCAUGUUUUCAAAUAUAUUUGCCUAUAAACACUGUUGGAAAUGAAACAAUACGUAAGUCAUUCUUUACUAUUUAUGGUUGUACAAGUGAGAUGUAUUAUGAAUGAGAAAUCUGCCAUUACUGCAGGAUUGUUAGAUCUCCCACCAACAAGAGCACUAGCUGGUUAAGGAUUAGAGCUCUUCUUUAAAGGAGGGUGUUGAAACAAGUUCUGCUCCUCAGUGUUUACCAGAAAUACAUAGUAGGAGGUCCUACCUACAGUUAAAAAUGGAAAAAAAAGUUGAAGUGUGGGUGUGGGAGGAGGAAGGAAUAAUAGUGGAAAAGACCAGAUAGAGUUACCUAGGGAUUCUCAGCCUAAAUAACAUAGGGGGGUGCAAGACUGGUUGUUAGAGUGAAUUUUGACUGCCUUAUGUGAAUUACUUCUGAAGAGAUGUACAUGCUGCUGGGAGGUUCCACAGCCUUCAGAGCAGGGAGAAAAGUAAAAGUGAAGGUGAGAAAGAGGUGAGCCCUUUCUGGGCUUUUUUUAAAGGACCAGUGUUAGUUGUGCAUUGGUACUUAAGCCACAAAUUUUUGCAGGUGUUUAGUGUGCUCCCAAGCAUACCUCUGCUUCCAGAAUUUAUUCUAUUAUCUAAAGGCAGUAGAAACAGCUUAAAUCUUUCACCUUUACACAAAUAUUUUUUUUCAGUGCUCCAGUGGAUAAAAAUUGAGCUGCUGAAGAGUCUGAAAAUAAUUCGAGUUUAGGCAGCUGAUGCCAGAGCAGUCUGUGAACCAAAGAAUUUACUGAUCCCUUUCUAAAAGGGAGGCCUAUUCAAAAUUUAGUUUCAAAAAUUUAAGAAAUAGUCCUGUUAAUAAAUCUCAAAGCAAGUUUGGGACACUCAAUCAUUUUGGGUUUUCAGCCUAAAUCUUAGGAGACAGGCAGAAACAAAACCUAUGUAGGCUGGGCUAUGAAGUUUUUUUGUUAUAUGUUUAAAUCUUUAUCCAGUGAGGGCGGUUUGUUAUUUUUUUAUUUGGCAUAAGGUAUAAAGAAGUAUAAAAGACACAUUCUCAGUAUCUUUUUUUAACAUUACUUCAUUUUGUAAAAUACAUUCUUCAGCUUGCUCACAAAAGCUUGAUGGAAAAUGGCAGCCAGGAGCUGCACAUUUUAACUACUCUUACCCAAGAGAAGGGAGCGUGGAAGAACCCAGUGUUGUGGGGUAUUCUUUCCCAGGAACAGUUGGAUCCAGAUAAAAGUAAAAUUUAAAAUUAUGAUUGGAAUAAACUAUGCCUGAAUAUUUCACUAAUACAUUGGAAUAUUAUGAUGAUACAUGGAAGUUUUGUUGAAUAUAGUUUCUAUGGUAAUUUAUAGGCUAUAUCAGAAAAUACACUUCUAGCAUUGUCUGAAUGCUGUAUAUUCCUAGAAACAUACUGAAAACAGUGUGUUCCUAGGAAUAUACAAAGAGUUUAAUGUUGGUGUUUUGCAUAAAAUGUAAUCAUACCCAGAGAUCUCUUGCCAUUUUCUUCAUAAGCUGUGUGAAGGAAGAUCAUGUACAGGCUGUAUUUUACAAUGGGGUAAGUUCAGUACUGGUAUAUAAAAAUUAUUUGACAUCAAACAAGAAAACAGGAACUAGAAAUGAGAAUGGCAUUUACUCAGUGAUGAAACACAAAGAGGGACUAUUCAUUUGAAAUUAAAGAUGCAUUUAGACCAGAGUUCUGAGAAUGGCUACCAGCAUUUGCAUAGGGAAGAGUAUAUGAUCCAAAGAAGCUUCCAAUAAUAUUUUCCUGAUGUAUUAUUUUCACUGUUAAUGAUUUCCAAUUCGGAAGUGAUAUCAUUGUGUUAAUAAGUCUUAGCUGUUCUUUUGAUUCUUCGCCUGAUAGGUUUUAGAAUCUGAAUGAAUCAUCACACCUAAGCAUCUGUGGCUGUACUCA
This is a long non-coding RNA of Melopsittacus undulatus (budgerigar), 4414 nucleotides long. RefSeq lists it as uncharacterized. The transcript is spliced from 2 exons. NCBI's taxonomy places the organism in Eukaryota, Metazoa, Chordata, Aves, Psittaciformes, Psittaculidae. The record is from RefSeq and is a predicted model, not a curated record.